UGGAUUGAUGUCCGUUGGUUUGGACGGUCAGCUGUUAAUUGAUUGUUUGUGGGGUCGAAGCCCACCAAUCCUG
Molecule: transfer RNA, 73 nt
Filed under: Saara hardwickii (Indian spiny-tailed lizard)
Lineage: Eukaryota; Metazoa; Chordata; Lepidosauria; Squamata; Agamidae
Source: RNAcentral